ACAAAAAAAUGAAAAAAAAUCUUCCGUUGCGGGGAAUCGAACCCCGGCCUUAUGGGUGAGAGCCAUAAAUCCUAACCACUAGACCACAACGGAGCGUGGGAAAAUGG
Molecule: transfer RNA, 107 nt
Filed under: Caenorhabditis elegans
Lineage: Eukaryota; Metazoa; Nematoda; Chromadorea; Rhabditida; Rhabditidae
Description: Unclassified non-coding RNA Y53C10A.17
Source: RNAcentral